GCUCCGAUAGCUCAAUUGGUUAGAGCGCCCCGCUCAUAACGGGUCGGUUGCAGGUUCGAGUCCUGCUGGGAGCACCA
RNAcentral lists this transfer RNA (77 nucleotides) under Saprospirales bacterium. RNAcentral's name for it is "tRNA-Met". It matches the Rfam family "tRNA". Rfam says of the family: Transfer RNA (tRNA) molecules are approximately 80 nucleotides in length. Their secondary structure includes four short double-helical elements and three loops (D, anti-codon, and T loops). The record is from RNAcentral. Lineage: Bacteria; Pseudomonadati; Bacteroidota; Saprospiria; Saprospirales.